CGGGGUGUAGCUCAGUGGCAGAGCAUGUGCUUCGCACGGAUGAGGUCCCUGGUUCAAUCCCUGACACCUCCA
This 72-nucleotide transfer RNA is filed under the name Loxodonta africana (African savanna elephant). It matches the Rfam family "tRNA". Rfam says of the family: Transfer RNA (tRNA) molecules are approximately 80 nucleotides in length. Their secondary structure includes four short double-helical elements and three loops (D, anti-codon, and T loops). The record is from Rfam by way of RNAcentral. Lineage: Eukaryota; Metazoa; Chordata; Mammalia; Proboscidea; Elephantidae.